UGCUAACCCUGACAGUAAUGAAAAGCAUUUAUUUUAAAAAAAAACUAAAUUUCUUGCCUUACAAAAGCGACCAACGGAAGCUCUUUGGAAGGCAUUAGAAAUUGUUUUUUUUAAAUAAAUCUUGUAAUGUAUGGCAGGAAUGGUU
This 145-nucleotide small RNA is filed under the name Flavobacterium crassostreae. RNAcentral describes it as "Flavo-1 RNA". It matches the Rfam family "Flavo-1 RNA". Lineage: Bacteria; Pseudomonadati; Bacteroidota; Flavobacteriia; Flavobacteriales; Flavobacteriaceae. The record is from Rfam by way of RNAcentral.